Molecule: ribosomal RNA, 322 nt
Filed under: uncultured bacterium
Lineage: Bacteria
Description: bacterial SSU rRNA
Rfam family: Bacterial small subunit ribosomal RNA
Source: RNAcentral
UGCGAACGCUAGCGGCGAGCUUAACACAUGCAAGUCGAGCGGAGGGUUUCGGCCCUCAGCGGCGGACGGGUGAGUAACACGUAGGUUACGUGCCCUUUGGUGGGGAAUAACUUAGGGAAACCUGAGCUAAUACCGCAUAUGCCCUCGGGUGAAGUCUUCGGACGCCAGAGGAUCGGCCUGCGGCCCAUUAUUUAAUCCUUGUUGGUGGGGUAACGGCCUACCAAGGGUACGAUGGGUAGCUGGUCUGAGAGGAUGAUCAGCCACACUGGGACUGAGACACGGCCCAGACUCCUACGGGAGGCAGCAGUGGGGAAUAUUGGAC